RNAcentral lists this ribosomal RNA (468 nucleotides) under uncultured bacterium. Its description in RNAcentral is "partial 16S ribosomal RNA". It matches the Rfam family "Bacterial small subunit ribosomal RNA", at positions 28 to 507 of the family's 1533-position model. The record is from RNAcentral.
GACGAACGCUGGCGGCGUGCUUAACACAUGCAAGUCGAACGGAAAGGCCCUGCUUUUGUGGGGUGCUCGAGUGGCGAACGGGUGAGUAACACGUGAGUAACCUGCCCUUGACUUUGGGAUAACUUCAGGACACUGGGGCUAAUACCUGAUAGGAGCUCCUGCUGCAUGGUGGGGGUUGGAAAGUUUCGGCGGUUGGGGAUGGACUCGCGGCUUAUCAGCUUGUUGGUGGGGUAGUGGCUUACCAAGGCUUUGACGGGUAGCCGGCCUGAGAGGGUGACCGGCCACAUUGGGACUGAGAUACGGCCCAGACUCCUACGGGAGGCAGGAGUGGGGAAUAUUGCACGAUGGGCGGAAGCCUGAUGCAGCAACGCCGCGUGCGGGAUGACGGCCUUCGGGUUGUAAACCGCUUUCGCCUGUAACGAAGCGUGAGUGACGGUAAUGGGUAAAGAAGCACCGGCUAACUACGUG